UACGGAGGGGGCGAGCGUUGUUCGGAUUUACUGGGCGUAAAGGGUGUGUAGGCGGCUGGAUAAGUCUGGCGUGAAAUCUUCACCGCUUAACGGGAAGGGGUCGCUGGAAACUGUUCAGCUUGAGUAUGGUAGAGGCAAGCGGAAUUCCACGUGUAGCGGUGAAAUGCGUAGAGAUGUGGAGGAACACCGAUGGCGAAGGCAGCCUUCUGGGCCAACACUGACGCUCAUGCACGAAAGCGUGGGGAGCAAACAGG
This 254-nucleotide ribosomal RNA is filed under the name uncultured bacterium. RNAcentral's name for it is "partial 16S ribosomal RNA". It matches the Rfam family "Bacterial small subunit ribosomal RNA", at positions 524 to 776 of the family's 1533-position model. The record is from RNAcentral.